CUGAACCUAAGCCGAAGGGAGGGCAACAGUCGGGCAGUUUACCUUCCAGAGGCUGAUAAUGCUCUCUCACUGGAGGAUGCAGCCAAGGAGGAAGUCCGCCAGCCUGCCAAGAUGAAAUGCCUUGAAGGCCCACACUUAAACCAAAGGCCAGGCAAGACCUGCCGCCCUUUGGCUCCCAAGGAGGAACUGGUGUCUGCCUCCCAAUUGGAGGAAGAGGAAGAGAAUGAAGAGGAGGAUCUGGAUCCAGACCCGGAGGAGGAGGAGGAGGAAGAGAAUGAUCUUGGGGAUCCAAAUGUAUUCAGCACUGUCCAUAACACCCAGAGAGGUCUGCUCGGCUCCCCUGGAGUCAAGGACCGUGGUGUGCUGGGGAUGUCAUCUGCCUCCUUGCAUUUUCUGUGGCAGACCCUGGACUACUUGUCGCCAAUCCCUUUCUGGCCUACGUUUCCCAGUGCCAGCUCUCCAGCACGCCACUUUGGACCUCGACUGCACUCACCAGACCCAUCGAUCUUUUGUAGCCUGCCAACCUCGUGGCCCUCUAGGUUCAGUCUUCCCAGUCACCUGACUCAGCUCCACCCUGAGCACCAACGGAUCCUGCAGCAACAGCAGCAUAGUCAAACUCGAAGUCCCCCAGCCAAGAAGCCUUGGUCUCAGCAGCCAGACCCCUAUGCUAACCUCAUGACCCAAAAAGAGAAGGACUGGGUGAUAAAAGUGCAGAUGGUUCAGCUGCAGAGUGAGAACCCUCACCUGGAUGACUACUACUACCAGGAGUAUUAUCAGAAGCUAGAGAAGAGGCAGGCAGAUGAAGAGCUACUUGGACGAAAGAACAAGGUUGAAUUCCUCAAGCUGGUAACACCUUACAUUCAGAAGGCAGAGGCUUAUGAGUCAGUGGUUCGAAUUGAGGGUUCCCUGGGCCAGGUAGCUGUAUCGACGUGUUUUAGCCCUCGCCGAGCUAUUGAUGCCGUACUCCAUGGAACUCAAGAGCAGGAUACAGGAACUGCAAGUAGCCAGAGGCUUCGGGUGUUAUAUCGAAUUGAGAAGAUGUUCCUUCAGUUACUAGCAAUAGAGGAGAGCCAGAAGGAUGGGCCUCCACAGCCCCGCUUCUCCAAGCUGCAGAGCAACCAGGUUGAGCAGCUUUUCCAGGCCUUAAAGACCCAGGAGCAGAACAGCCUGGAGGAGGCAACAGAUGGUUUCCUGCAGGUACUCUCUGUGAGGAAGGGGAAGGCCCUGGUGGCCCGGCUGCUCCCCUUCCUGCCCCAGGAUCAGGCUGUUAGCCUCCUUCUGGCUAUCAUGCACCACCUGCCCCUCCUGGUCCGAAGGGACAUGGCUGACCAGGCCCUACACAUGUUGUUCAAACCUCUGGGCAAAUGCAUCAGUCACUUGACCUUCCAUGAACUCCUCCAAGGACUUCAGGGUCUACUGCUGCUACCACCUGGCUCCUCAGAGCGGCCAGUCACUGUUGUGCUUCAAAAUCAGGUAACACAUUUGGUUGGCCUUUCUCUUUCCAUAUAUGGCUUCCAGGUGGUAUCACUGGUAAGGAAUAAGUGAGGGAAUAUCUUUUCUCUCCACAAAUCUUAUCCUCUGCAGUGGUUCUCAAUUUCUAGUGAGCAUAGGAUCACCUGGUGAGCUUAUUAAAUCUGGUUCCUUGGUCCCACCCACAGUCAUCAGUAGGUCUGGGUGGGGCCCAUGCACCUGCUUUUCUAACAAGCUCCCUGAUUGCUGCUGCUGGUGUGAGCCUCCUGAGCAGAGGUCUCUGAACUUCUGGCUGCAUGCCCCUUUUAGUAAGUUCUGAACCAUACCACCCAAGUUUUUACAAAUCACAUACAUGUAGCAUAUAUAUAUAUAUAUAUGUAUAAUGUAUAGACAUGUAAUAUUAGGUACAUAAUAAAUAAAAUUUUUGAAGGAUGAGACUCUAGAUGUGAAAGUUCUAAUAUCAUCAUCCAAUAUCUCAGAGGAUUAUCUUGUGUAACCCACUCUGAAGACCUUUGCUUAAAGUAGUGCUUCUUAAAGUGCAGUCCACAGACUACCUGCCUCAGAUUCCUGGAUCCAUUUCUAAUCUACAGACUGAUUCCUGAGGGUGGAGCCUAGAAGCAUGCACUUUAUCAGCUCUCCAAGAGUAUCUUUUGGGAAGUUCAGAACAGUGAUUCCUUUGGAAAGUUUGGAAUAUCUUUGCUCUAUGCCCUG
Molecule: RNA transcript, 2181 nt
Organism: Lemur catta (Ring-tailed lemur)
Lineage: Eukaryota; Metazoa; Chordata; Mammalia; Primates; Lemuridae
Gene: PATL2
Gene name: PAT1 homolog 2
Exons: 14
Source: RefSeq, a predicted model, not a curated record